This 1353-nucleotide long non-coding RNA is filed under the name Anser brachyrhynchus (Pink-footed goose). Its description in RNAcentral is "lncRNA (ENSABRG00000017346.1)". The record is from RNAcentral. Lineage: Eukaryota; Metazoa; Chordata; Aves; Anseriformes; Anatidae.
UGUAGCUCAUUAUCUCUUUCUUUAAAAUCAUAAGACUCAUUUCCCCAUAAAUAUUUCAACAUCCAGGAAAAUGUGGCGGGAAGCUAGAAUCACAGCAUGCAUUCAAAGCUACUUUCACAAACCCAUCUCACACUGGAAUUGUCCUGAAGCCUGACCCAGCUAUUAAGGGAGCAUCAUCUUACACAAGCUAGGCAGAGGAGAGGACAGCUAGACACCUUGUUCCUGCAGAUGUCCAGUGUAACUGGUCUGCCUUAAUCAUAGUCUGUUUCACAGAGAUGGAGUGUAUACCUCAUUCCUCUCCCUACAUCUGGGCAGCAGAAGUGAAGCCAAGCAUGUGCCUGUUGCUGCAGGUGGAAGCAUUGUCUUUGUUGUUCCUGCCAUUUUGUUGCCAUAGAACUGUAGCAAUCAGAGGAAUACACGAGACUAUGGGGAGGAGUUGAGAUGUAUAACAUAAAGCAGAGAGGUGGAGAGAGAGGAGGUUGAGUUGCCUUUCAAUGGCGAGCCUGGAGAAAGUGGCUGAAGAGGGACACAACAUGAACCAAUACAGUGAGCAAAACAUGAAAAGGAUACAGAAGGAAGACUUAAAGAAGAUUCAAAAAAUCCCUGAAAUCCCUACCAGCUUAGUGGAUUUUGGAUCAAUUCCUGCAUGAGCAGGAGGGGGCAGGUAGGCUGACCAGAGCACAUGGCACCAUGCCAUAAAAGUGAUUACAGAAACAGUAAUAGGCAAUAUAAUGGUCUGCAUCACAUGAUGACAGCUGGUUAUCAGAUUUCAAGCUGGAUGAGAAAGGAGUGCUAGCUGAGCACUGGCUCGGAUUGGCUCCGUGGGAGCUCCUGGCCUUGUAGGGCCAGGGUGGAAAAGGCCACAUCGUCACCCUGCCUCUCAGCAGAGGAGGCCCCGCAGGGUGGGCUGACAAACUUCCCCUCUGCCACCUCUGGCAAGAGGUGGGACAGAAGAAAAACCUGAUGGUCUGCCGCUUGCUGGGGAGGCCAUCCACCCAUCCAAGUGAAUCUUAAUGGGGGAUAGCCUCUCAAGGACAAGCAAGAGUUUCCCAAGGUCUGGAAGAGAAGAUACAUGAACUGCUUUACUUGUUGGCACAAAACUAUGAACAGGAAUUGCAGAGGAUGUGGCAGGAGGAAGCAGUGUGGUGGCAAUCGAUGUAGCAGUUGGAUUCCUGCAAAUUCGGUCCACUGCAUGGAGAAUAAUCUGUCAGAGUGACUCUGGAAAGCUGUUUAAGCUGUUAUUCAUUAAGCAUCAUUAUUCAUUGUGCAUCAUUUUACUAGGUAAGUCCAUGCUCUCUUUUCCACAUUGCAAAGUUCUUUCAUGCCAGGAUUUAGCUCUUAUGGGAUCUUAAU